GAUGAACGCUGGCGGCGUGCUUAACACAUGCAAGUCGAACGAGAAGUGGAGACGGAAACCUUCGGGCGGAAGACUUUAUUUCGAGUGGCGGACGGGUGAGUAACGCGUGGGUAACCUGCCUCAUACAGGGGGAUAACAGUUGGAAACGACUGUUAAUGCCGCAUAAGACCACAGCACCGCAUGGUGCGGGGGUAAAAACUCCGGUGGUAUGAGAUGGACCCGCGUUCGAUUAGCCAGUUGGCGGGGUAACGGCCCACCAAAGCGACGAUCGAUAGCCGAUCUGAGAGGAUGACCGGCCACAUUGGGACUGAGACACGGCCCAAACUCCUACGGGAGGCAGCAGUGGGGAAUAUUGCACAAUGGGGGAAACCCUGAUGCAGCGACGCCGCGUGAGUGAAGAAGUAUUUCGGUAUGUAAAGCUCUAUCAGCAGGGAAGAAAAUGACGGUACCUGAGUAAGAAGCCCCGGCUAACUACGUG
RNAcentral lists this ribosomal RNA (478 nucleotides) under uncultured bacterium. RNAcentral describes it as "partial 16S ribosomal RNA". It matches the Rfam family "Bacterial small subunit ribosomal RNA", at positions 28 to 507 of the family's 1533-position model. The record is from RNAcentral.